RNAcentral lists this transfer RNA (65 nucleotides) under Glycera americana (American bloodworm). RNAcentral's name for it is "tRNA-Val". Lineage: Eukaryota; Metazoa; Annelida; Polychaeta; Phyllodocida; Glyceridae. The record is from RNAcentral.
CGAAAUAGAGCAUAUCAAUGCAUUUCACUUACAUUGAAAAGAAAAUGAAAACUCAUUUAUUUCGA